AUUGACGGGGGCCCGCACAAGCGGUGGAGCAUGUGGUUUAAUUCGAUGCAACGCGAAGAACCUUACCUGGUCUUGACAUCCACAGAACUUUCCAGAGAUGGAUUGGUGCCUUCGGGAACUGUGAGACAGGUGCUGCAUGGCUGUCGUCAGCUCGUGUUGUGAAAUGUUGGGUUAAGUCCCGCAACGAGCGCAACCCUUAUCCUUUGUUGCCAGCGGUCCGGCCGGGAACUCAAAGGAGACUGCCAGUGAUAAACUGGAGGAAGGUGGGGAUGACGUCAAGUCAUCAUGGCCCUUACGACCAGGGCUACACACGUGCUACAAUGGCGCAUACAAAGAGAAGCGACCUCGCGAGAGCAAGCGGACCUCAUAAAGUGCGUCGUAGUCCGGAUUGGAGUCUGCAACUCGACUCCAUGAAGUCGGAAUCGCUAGUAAUCGUGGAUCAGAAUGCCACGGUGAAUACGUUCCCGGGCCUUGUACACACCGCCCGUCACACCAUGGGAGUGGGUUGCAAAAGAAGUAGGUAGCUUAACCUUCGGGAGGCCGCUUACCACUUUGUGAUU
RNAcentral lists this ribosomal RNA (560 nucleotides) under Escherichia sp. RNAcentral describes it as "bacterial SSU rRNA". It matches the Rfam family "Bacterial small subunit ribosomal RNA", at positions 909 to 1469 of the family's 1533-position model. The record is from RNAcentral. Lineage: Bacteria; Pseudomonadati; Pseudomonadota; Gammaproteobacteria; Enterobacterales; Enterobacteriaceae.